UCCAGGGUAGCCUAGUUGACAAUGGCAUCUGCCCGGUAAGCGGAACGUUGUGGGUUCGAUUCCCGCCCCUGGAC
This 74-nucleotide transfer RNA is filed under the name Cordylochernes scorpioides. RNAcentral's name for it is "tRNA-Thr". It matches the Rfam family "tRNA". From Rfam's summary of the family: Transfer RNA (tRNA) molecules are approximately 80 nucleotides in length. Their secondary structure includes four short double-helical elements and three loops (D, anti-codon, and T loops). Further hydrogen bonds mediate the characteristic L-shaped molecular structure. tRNAs have two regions of fundamental functional importance: the anti-codon, which is responsible for specific mRNA codon recognition, and the 3' end, to which the tRNAs corresponding amino acid is attached (by aminoacyl-tRNA synthetases). tRNAs cope with the degeneracy of the genetic code in two manners: having more than one tRNA (with a specific anti-codon) for a particular amino acid; and 'wobble' base-pairing, i.e. permitting non-standard base-pairing at the 3rd anti-codon position. Lineage: Eukaryota; Metazoa; Arthropoda; Arachnida; Pseudoscorpiones; Chernetidae. The record is from RNAcentral.